UACGAGGGGGGCGAGCGUUGUUCGGAAUUACUGGGCGUAAAGCGUGCGUAGGUGGUUUGUUAAGUCUGAUGUGAAAGCCCUGGGCUCAACCUGGGAAUUGCAUUGGAUACUGGCAGGCUAGAGUGCGGUAGAGGAUGGCGGAAUUCCCGGUGUAGCAGUGAAAUGCGUAGAUAUCUGGAGGAACACCGGUGGCGAAGGCGGCAUCCUGGACCGGCAUUGACGCUGAGGCGCGAAAGCCAGGGGAGCAAACGGG
This 253-nucleotide ribosomal RNA is filed under the name uncultured bacterium. Its description in RNAcentral is "partial 16S ribosomal RNA". It matches the Rfam family "Bacterial small subunit ribosomal RNA", at positions 524 to 776 of the family's 1533-position model. The record is from RNAcentral.